RNAcentral lists this ribosomal RNA (246 nucleotides) under uncultured bacterium. Its description in RNAcentral is "partial 16S ribosomal RNA". It matches the Rfam family "Bacterial small subunit ribosomal RNA", at positions 90 to 334 of the family's 1533-position model. The record is from RNAcentral.
AGUGAGUGGCGAACGGGUGAGUAACACGUGAGUAACCUGCCCUCUUCUUUGGGAUAACGCCCGGAAACGGGUGCUAAUACUGGAUAUUCACUGAUCUUCGCAUGGGGGUUGGUGGAAAGGUUUUUUCUGGUGGGGGAUGGGCUCGCGGCCUAUCAGCUUGUUGGUGGGGUGAUGGCCUACCAAGGCUUUGACGGGUAGCCGGCCUGAGAGGGUGACCGGUCACAUUGGGACUGAGAUACGGCCCAG